AGGACGAACGCUGGCGGCGUGCUUAACACAUGCAAGUCGAACGGAAAGGCCCGCUUGCGGGUACUCGAGUGGCGAACGGGUGAGUAACACGUGGGUAACCUGCCCUCAGCUUUGGGAUAACCCCCGGAAACGGGUGCUAAUACCGAAUAUUGACCUCCUACCGCAUGGCGGGUGGUUGAAAGUUUUUCGGCUGAGGAUGGGCCCGCGGCCUAUCAGCUUGUUGGUGGGGUGAAGGCCUACCAAGGCGACGACGGGUAG
RNAcentral lists this ribosomal RNA (258 nucleotides) under uncultured bacterium. RNAcentral describes it as "partial small subunit ribosomal RNA". It matches the Rfam family "Bacterial small subunit ribosomal RNA", at positions 26 to 286 of the family's 1533-position model. The record is from RNAcentral.